Molecule: ribosomal RNA, 468 nt
Filed under: uncultured bacterium
Lineage: Bacteria
Description: partial 16S ribosomal RNA
Rfam family: Bacterial small subunit ribosomal RNA
Source: RNAcentral
GACGAACGCUGGCGGCGUGCUUAACACGUGCAAGUCGAACGGAAAGGCCCUGCUUUUGUGGGGUGCUCGAGUGGCGAACGGGUGAGUAACACGUGAGUAACCUGCCCUUGACUUUGGGAUAACUUCAGGAAACUGGGGCUAAUACCGGAUAGGAGCUCCUGCUGCAUGGUGGGGGUUGGAAAGUUUCGGCGGUUGGGGAUGGACUCGCGGCUUAUCAGCUUGUUGGUGGGGUAGUGGCUUACCAAGGCUUUGACGGGUAGCCGGCCUGAGAGGGUGACCGGCCACAUUGGGACUGAGAUACGGCCCAGACUCCUACGGGAGGCAGCAGUGGGGAAUAUUGCACAAUGGGCGGAAGCCUGAUGCAGUAACGCCGCGUGCGGGAUGACGGCCUUCGGGUUGUAAACCGCUUUCGCCUGUGACGAAGCGUGAGUGACGGUAAUGGGUAAAGAAGCACCGGCUAACUACGUG